CAAAAAAUAGUUUAUAAAAAAUAAUAAUUUUGGAGAUUAUAGAAAAACUCAAUAUUUUUUUUUGA
This 65-nucleotide transfer RNA is filed under the name Molanna truncata. Its description in RNAcentral is "tRNA-Pro". Lineage: Eukaryota; Metazoa; Arthropoda; Insecta; Trichoptera; Molannidae. The record is from RNAcentral.